This 739-nucleotide long non-coding RNA is filed under the name Pogona vitticeps (central bearded dragon). RNAcentral describes it as "lncRNA (ENSPVIG00000019088.1)". Lineage: Eukaryota; Metazoa; Chordata; Lepidosauria; Squamata; Agamidae. The record is from RNAcentral.
CUCUACAUUCUUGGCUAGUGCUUGCAGGGAUGGGAGAACUGGCAGUGGGGUGGUGCCCUGUCAUAAAAUCAAGAGUCACUAGAUCAGCUCUGCUGAAUGCAGUCCUCUCCCACUGAUUACCAUAACUUUCAUCAGCCAUAGUAAUUAUGGCUGGAAUUGAUGGGAAUCGCUAAUGUCUGGAAAGCACCAUUCAACAUCACUAAGGGGAGAGGUGAAAAAAGGUUAACGGUUGGGUACCCAGGCUGAAGAAGCUUAUUAAGAAAAGUUUAUGCAAAGAGAAGAAAUGGCCUUUUUAUUCUUCAAAGAAUGCUGGUUGUGGUUUAUGUAAAAGAGCCUGAAUUUUCUGCAUCAAUGGAAGCACUAAAUCAAAAUGACCAAUAUACAAGUGCAAUUUAGUAGGAAGGAAGGAAGGAAGGAAGGAAGGAAGGAAGGAAGGAAGGAAGGAAGAGAUACACCCAGCCCAUCUCCUACAAAAUUGUUUCCAUCUUGCUUCAAAUGUGGACUUUGCAAAGAAGAGAGGAGCUUUGGUCUUUAGAGGGUCUGCCUAGAACCCAGAACCCUGGGUUAGCUGGAGAGUUUCCACAGAUAAAGGUGGCUGUCCUCUUCAGAACACUGCUGUCCAUUUGAAGAGAGAGAGACUGAAGUGAUGAUGGAAGGGGCUAGCACACAUGUGCUCAUGUGUUUAUUUUCUCUGUAGUCACAUUUCAGUACAGUCGUGUCCCGCUUUACAAUUACCCCG